UUUACACAGAGUGAAGAUUUUAUCAUCAUCAGGAUUUCUGUCCCAUGUAUUCACUGGAGUAGAGCACUUCACCUCCUUUUCCUCGUGUGUCAGGAACUCUGGAGUUUCCUCUCCGUCGAUGACAAACCCACAGAGCAGGACAUCCACUCAGACUCCGAGGGAGACACAAUCAGCCACGAGGACACAUCUACAACCCCUUCAGAACCUGAGAAAAAAGGUGACUGACGGCUCAGGAAGCCACCCAUGUGACUGACAGCUAACGUUUAUCUGUCCUCCUCCUGCUCCAGUUAAAGAGAGAACAGGAGUGGAUCCCACCACUGAGAGAGAGAGAGAGAGAGAGAGAGAGAGAGAGCAAGACAGAGAUAGAGAGAGAGAGACAGAGAGAGAGAUAUAUAUAGAGAGAGAGACAGAGAGAGAGAGAGACAGAGAGAGAGAGAGAGAGACAGAGAUAUAUAUAUAUAUAUAUAUAUAUAUAUAGAGAGAGAGAGAGAGAGAGAGAGAGAGACAGAGAGAGAGAGAGAGAGAGAGACAGAGAGAGAGACAGACAGAGAGAGAGAGAGACAGAGAGAGAGAGAGACAGAGAGAGAGAGAGAUACCACAGUUAGAUCCAUCACGAGCGUUUCAUUUGUUAAAUUAAAUGAUGCACUAAGCGUUACCUCUCACUGUGAGGGACACCGUGGCCUUGUCGUACCAGUUAUCACUGCUCACAUGGCACACGUAUUCUCCUCUAUCUGCUAGCGUCAGGUUCUCCAGCUUCAGAGAGACAUCUCCUUUCUCCAGUUCUCCUAACAGGAACACUCUGCCCUGGUACUGAACAUCUACAGGACUCUUCUGGAUCUGUGUGUUCUUGUAGGACAGGAUCGGGGUGUUUUGCAUUUUGGGACGGUACCAGCGCACUUCCAGGUUUCGAGCAUCCAUGUUGUUUACAAGAGCACAGUGUAGAGACACAGCGGAACCAAGGAACCCUGAGGCUGGAGACUGAACCUCCACUGAAAAUGAUCCUGAAGGAGAAUUUGGGCAGUUGUAUAAAAAACAAUUCCUGAUGUGACCUUAAGUAAGAAAUAAAAAUCACACUCACCAGAAGAGGUUUGGUGACUGAGAGAUGGAAGAAGAAACAACCAAGCCCAUCUCAGUUCUACAGAUGUUAAUAAGAAACGGCCUUUUAUGUUUGAAAUAAUGUCAUUUAUUGAUUGGCUACAUUUAAAAUUAAAUAUAAUUGAGCUGUACUUUGAUCAAUCAACAAAUGUAAGGUUUUUUUUCUGCAUUAGUAACCGGUUUUUAUACAUUUUACAAUCUUCUGUCCCUUUCCACCUUCGGCUUUACACAUUACAUUACAUUUACAUAUUUUUAGCACUAUUUUGCUGUCUAAUUAAUGUCUAAUUAAUGCCAAGUAAAUCAUUUUGAUAUAGAUUUUGUUGUUGCUGGUUCACACACUGGAUUGAAAGGCUGAUUUGGAAUUUUAACUUUUAUUACUAUCAAGUUUUCAAUAAUCCACUGAAGGGAAUUAAAGUGAUCAACAUUAAAUAAUAGCUAAAUAUUUGAGAUAUCGUCACAUUUCUGUUCAGUAUCAUUAUUAAUAAAUGAAAUAUCUGUAUGUUCUGUGGCACUAACACGCCAUGAUGAGGAGAAAAAAGCAGCUCUUAGUGGGCUCUUACCUGAAAUCAUGGCAUCAGAAAAACACCAAUUUCAUUCAGUCCAGUGAAUCAGAUUAGUGAGAAUAAGAUCUCUCAGAAACGACAUACACGCUGAAGCAAUCCCAUGAGGAGUCACAUGCAGGCACAAAGCUAGUAAAAGAUUAACUUGUUCUUGUUUUCAGAUGGAGAUGUAGGAUUGUCAGAGCUGCAGUUUGAACCAGUCUGUGUUUCGCUCCAUUAAUGAGAUCGGAUUAAAGAUCGGAUAUUGGUGUCAGUGUUUACGGUGAGAAACUGCCUUUUCCUUAGUGUUAAUAACAGAACCGUGUAUUAAUGACCUCAACGCUAUUCUGUUAUUCUUAAUGGUCAGAAGGUGCUGAUUAGUUUCCAAUCAAUCAGCUCUGAUCGUUAGGACGUCAGUGAUUGGACAAGAAAUCUUAACGCAUGAUGUCACUACUUGGUGCUCUUGCGGUUGGCAUGGUGAGGGUCGUCGCCGAGGACGCUGGUGUCGACGCGGGACAGCGUGCACAUGCUGCUGUGAUUACGUGGGUGGAGUCGCGCUGUACGCAGUUCCAACUCAUCAUAAGUCGAUACACGGAUGAAAGGACACCACCGGA
Ictalurus furcatus (blue catfish) is the source of this 2248-nucleotide long non-coding RNA. RefSeq lists it as uncharacterized. The transcript is spliced from 4 exons. The record is from RefSeq and is a predicted model, not a curated record. Lineage: Eukaryota; Metazoa; Chordata; Actinopteri; Siluriformes; Ictaluridae.